Alosa sapidissima (American shad) is the source of this 277-nucleotide long non-coding RNA. RefSeq lists it as uncharacterized. Lineage: Eukaryota; Metazoa; Chordata; Actinopteri; Clupeiformes; Clupeidae. The record is from RefSeq and is a predicted model, not a curated record. The transcript is spliced from 3 exons.
CAUCUAUAGGCCAGGCCUAUGCUAGUUCUGGGGCAGGCCUAUGCUAGUUCUGGUCUAUGCUAGUUCUGGGGCAGCUGUAGGCCAGGUCUAUGCCUGUUUCUAUGCUAGUUCUGGGCCAGGUCUAUGCUAGUUCUGGGGCAGCUGUAGGCCAGGUCUAUGCUAGUUCUGGGGCAGCUGUAGGCCAGGUCUAUGCCUGUUUCUAUGCUAGUUCUGGGCCAGGUCUAUGCUAGCUGUGAUCAGCUGGUACCUGGAGUGUCAUUUGACUGCAGACUGCAUC